AGUUCGAUUCUGGCUCAGAUUGAACGCUGGCGGGAUGCUUUACACAUGCAAGCCGAACGGCAGCACGGACUUUCCGGUCUGGUGGCGAGUGGCGAACGGGUGAGUAAUGUAUCGGAACGCCUAAGGAUAACUAUUGCGAAAGGGUAGCUAAUACCGCAUACGCCCUUCGGGGGAAAGCGGGGACCUUCGGGCCUCGCACUAUUAGAGCGGCCGAUAUCGGAUUAGCUAGUUGGUGGGGUAACGGCUCACCAAGGCGACGAUCCGUAGCUGGUUUGAGAGGACGACCAGCCACACUGGGACUGAGACACGGCCCAGACUCCUACGGGAGGCAGCAGUGGGGAAUUUUGGACAAUGGGGGAAACCCUGAUCCAGCCAUCCCGCGUGUGCGAUGAAGGCCUUCGCCAAAGCACUUUUGGCAGGAAAGAAACGGCACGGGAUAAUACCCCGUGCAACUGACGGUACCUGCAGAAUAAGCACCGGCUAACUACGUGCCAGCAGCCGCGGUAAUACGUAGGGUGGCAAGCGUUAAUCGGAAUUACUGGGCGAAGCGUGCGCAGGCGGUUCGAAAGAAAGAUGUGAAAUCCCAGAGCUUAACUUUGAACUGUAUUUCAAAAUUUACUGAUGAUGUCAGGAGGAGGUGGAAUUCGCGUAGCAGUGAAAUGCGUAGAUAUGCGGAGGAACACCGAUGGCGAAGGCAGCCUGGGAUAACACCGACGCUCAUGCACGAAAGCGUGGGAGCAAACAGGAUUAGAUACCCCGGUAGUCCACGCUCUAAACGAUGUCAACUAGCUGUUGGGGCCUUCGGGCCUUGGUAGCGUAGCCAACGCGUGAAGUUGACCGCCUGGGGAGUACGGUCGCAAGAUUAAAACUCAAAGGACGGGACCCGCACAAGCGGUGGAUGAUGUGGAUUAAUUCGAUGCAACGCGAAAAACCUUACCUACCCUUACAUACCGGAACUCUGAAGAGAUUUGGGAGUGCUCGCAAGAGAACCGGAACACAGGUGUUGCAUGGCUGUCGUCAGCUCGCCGUGAGAUGUUGGGUUAAGUCCUGCAACGAGCGCAACCCUUGUCAUUAGUUGCUAUGAAAGGGCACCUAAUGAGACUGCCGGUGACAAACCGGAGGAAGGUGGGGAUGACGUCAAGUCCUCAUGGCUCCGCGGUAGGGCUUCACACGUCAUACAAUGGUUACUGUACAGAGGGUCGCCAACCCGCGAGGGGGAGCCAAUCCCAGAAACCCGAUCGUAGUCCGGAUCGCAGUCUGCAACUCGACUGCGUGAAGUCGGAAUCGCUAGUAAUCGCGGAUCAGCAUGUCGCGGUGAAUACGUUCCCGGUCUGUACACACCGCCCGUCACACCAUGGGAGUGGGUUUUACCAGAAGUAGUUAGCCUAACCGUAAGGAGGGCUACUGUCACGUAGGAUUCAUGACUGGGGUGAGGUCGUAUCAGCAGC
RNAcentral lists this ribosomal RNA (1448 nucleotides) under uncultured Bordetella sp. RNAcentral describes it as "partial 16S-23S ribosomal RNA intergenic spacer". It matches the Rfam family "Bacterial small subunit ribosomal RNA". Lineage: Bacteria; Pseudomonadati; Pseudomonadota; Betaproteobacteria; Burkholderiales; Alcaligenaceae. The record is from RNAcentral.